AAUAAAAUUAUUUAUGGUUUAAAAAUUUAUUAUAAAUUUAUUUUACAUAUAAAUUUUAGUGUUAAUUUUUAAUUUAUUUAAAUAAUAAUUAAUAUUAUUUGUAGUAAUUAAAAUUAAAAAUUUAAGUAAUUAAGAUUUAGUAAUAUUUAAAUUAAUAACAAAUUUUGUGCCAGCAGUUGCGGUUAUACAAAAAUUAAAUUAAAUUUUUUUUAGGAAUUAAUUAAUAAUAGAUUAUAUAAUAAAAUUAAAAUUUAAAUUAUUAAGUGAAAUUUUAAUUUAUGAAAAUUUUAUAUUGAAUUAUGAAUUAAAAAAUUUUAUUAAAAACUAGGAUUAGAUACCCUAUUAUUAAAAAUUUAAAUUAAUAAUACUAAAAUAGUAUAUAAUUAUUUAUAAAAACUUAAAUAAUUUGGCGGUAUUUUAGUUUAUUUAGAGGAAUCUGUUUAUUAAUUGAUAUUCCACGAAUAAAUUUACUUAAUUUAUUUAAUUUUGUAUAUCGUUGUUAAAAAAAUAUUUUAAAAUAAUAAUAAUAUUUUAAUUUUUAUAUUAAAAGUUAAAUCAGAUCAAGAUGCAGAUUAUAAUUAAGAAUAUAAUGGAUUACAAUAAAUUUAUUUAAUUGGAUGUUAUUUUUAAAAAUUAAUUGAAAUUGGAUUUAAAUGUAAUUUUAUUUAAUUUAUUAAAAUGAUUUUAAUUUAAAAUAUGUACAUAUUGCCCGUCGCUUUCAUUAAUAAAUUGAAAUAAGUCGUAACAAAGUAGAGGUACUGGAAAGUGUUUCUAGAAAGAG
Molecule: non-coding RNA, 781 nt
Filed under: Bombyx mandarina (wild silkworm)
Lineage: Eukaryota; Metazoa; Arthropoda; Insecta; Lepidoptera; Bombycidae
Source: RNAcentral